RNAcentral lists this ribosomal RNA (301 nucleotides) under uncultured bacterium. Its description in RNAcentral is "partial 16S ribosomal RNA". It matches the Rfam family "Bacterial small subunit ribosomal RNA", at positions 509 to 809 of the family's 1533-position model. The record is from RNAcentral.
CAGUAGCCGCGGGAAUACGUAGGUGGCAAGCGUUGUCCGGAUUUAUUGGGCGUAAAGCGAGCGCAGGCGGUCAAUUAAGUCUGAUGUGAAAGCCCCCGGCUCAACCGGGGAGGGUCAUUGGAAACUGGUUGACUUGAGUGCAGAAGAGGAGAGUGGAAUUCCAUGUGUAGCGGUGAAAUGCGUAGAUAUAUGGGGGAACACCAGUGGCGAAGGCGACUCUCUGGUCUGUAACUGACGCUGAGGCUCGAAAGCGUGGGUAGCAAACAGGAUUAGAUACCCGUGUAGUCCCUGUCUCUUAUAA